This is a long non-coding RNA of Chinchilla lanigera (long-tailed chinchilla), 1287 nucleotides long. RefSeq lists it as uncharacterized. Lineage: Eukaryota; Metazoa; Chordata; Mammalia; Rodentia; Chinchillidae. The record is from RefSeq and is a predicted model, not a curated record. The transcript has 5 exons.
UCAGCUUGAGUUCCAAAGUCAUUUAGGAGUUGCUCUGAGGACAGUGAAGCAAAACCAAGCUGGUGACUCUUCAAACCCGACCUCAAAUGGAUAGAACCUGGUGCCUACCAGAUGCAAGGUCAAAAAAGGAAGUGAGAACACCGAGGCCUUCCUUACAGAGCUGUCACCUAAUGGCCCUCGUUACUCCUCCCCUCUGCUUGGGGGGCCUGGGGUACCUGGGGGUCCGUCUCUAGAACUGCAGUGAGUCUCAAAGGAGGCUACUUCAGGAGUCUUUGUGACCUACAGGGUGGGUCUAUUGCUAUGCGGGGACCUCAGGGUACUACAGCUAAGGGUAGCACCAUCCCUGGGGACAAAAUGAGGUAAGAAGACCACCUAGAGCACAGCACACUGUGGUCUGUGCUCACGCAACCCGCGGCUUAAGUAGUGUUAUAAGGCCCAGGACCUGCAGCAGCCGGGUCUCAGCAGCCAGCAAUUGAUGACGCACAGCUCAAUCAAAUAUCAAAGUUAUUCUGGAGAAGGGUGUUGGAAAGAUACUUCCAUCAAGGGUCACCAGGGUCAGCUGCAUGCUGGACCGAGGACAAGAGCCAAGCUCCGGCCACAGCUCUGCUAACCGUGUACCACCCGCUGUCAUCUUUUCUACCGGAGAUACUAGACACUGCAUUCGCAUCGUGGUUUCCAGCACAGGGCACCGAGGAACCCAGACACCACAGCGAGCUCACAAAAGCGCUGCGGAAUGUUUAAAACUUCAAGGGACCCACGGUGAUAACCAGCACCACGGGAACUAGCUUGACCUCACUACAUUUCUUCUGAAGGAGUUCUCGCUCUGUAAAGCUAGGUUUUCAGUGGUUGCUGUAAUAAAAAGGAAGUAUGACGUAAAACUCAACAUGAGACAGGAAACUCGGCUGGGGAUGACACUCCAAUUCUAAUAUUUGAGGCACUGUAUGAUCCCCACAGAUACACACAUCCCAUUACAUAUGUGGACACAGUAAGAAGACACCAUCUAUGAGGAAGCCGGCACCAAAUCUACUAGCACCUUGACCUUGGACUUCACCCCUAGAACUCUUUCAGGACAUUCUGCAGGCGAACAGCCACGCAGGAACCCAGAUGCCGCCCCUCGCAGCACCCACACAGGCUCAGCCGGGUGGAAAGUGCCAGAGGUGCCCAGAACACGGCUCACUGCCAGCCGGCAUCGUCAAGUGGGUGGUAAAAUCCUGACAUCUUUUAAGCCCAUCCUCUUCUAGCACACACACAAACUAUUUUGUAAAUUAAACAGCUGAUGGAUCCUAA